UUUAUUAUUAUUAUUAUUAUUAUUAUUGCUGCUGUUAUUAAAUUAUUAAGUUGGGGUUGAUUCUUGUUCCACAACUAGGCCUGCUAUCCUCCAGCCCAGAUGGGGGCGGUAAUGCUUUAGCUGCUAGCUAGAUAAAUGCAAGAAGAAUGCGAAGAAGACCAGAAAGUCUUGAGGAAAAAGUCAGACGCCAGCCAUGUGUGAGCAGAGGAUGAAGAUUGCUCAAACAAGUUUUCAGGCGAAGUUUCCAGAACCCAGACGCUCCGUGACCCAUAUCACACCCUCUACAAGCAGGUGUGUGUAGGCAUCAGCACUGUCAUCUGCAGUCAUGACCGAAACUGCUGAAGUCUGAAGUUGAUUACCUGCUCAACUGAUGAUCACUACAUCUGCCAGGGCUCGUUCGUAGCGGCAGAAGUCAGUCAUGAUCCCCAACUGGGUCCCUGCACCUCUUCAAACGCAGCAGUGCGUCCUUUCAGAGGGGAAUGUGUGAUGUUGCCGGAGAGUCACGUUGGCCUCAUCAUUGGGGGGAGGAUGAGUGUGUGCCCGAGCAUGUGGCCGCUCCUAACAUCUGGCGUGUCAGCUUCUGGCCUGGAGAUGGCACUACAGUGUAGAGGACGACCCAUGCCAGGGCUCUUAGAUUCGGACCCGAGUUCCUGAGUUGGACAUCCCUUAGCUUCACAAUGACGACCUGCACUCGGACUGGAAGCUACGUGGUGUCUGAGACUGUCUGCUUCUGGAGGAUCAUGUUGACAUCAACUUGUGGAAGGUGGUGUCUGAGAGUGUGUGACUCUUCUGGAGGCUCAUGGCAUGAUCCCAUGCAAGGAUGAGUGUGUGCCCGAGCAUGUGGCCGCUCCAAACACCUGGCGUGUCAGCAAUGCUUCUGGCCUGGGGGGGGCGCUACAGCGUAGAGGACGACCUAUGCCAGGGCUCUUAGAUUUGGGCCUUACCUUCACAAUGACGACCCACACUCGGACUGGAAGCUACAUGGUGUCUGAGUAUGUGACGCUUCUGGAGGCUCAUGAUCUCAUCUCAUGCAAGGUGUGACUCUGUAAAUCGGCAGACUGGACGGCUUCCAAUACAGACGACGACUGACUGGAACCCAUGUAUUUGGUGGAUUUGCUGGUGAAUGUGUGCCACUCAUGUGUGCCUUUUCUGCUGCAGCGGAGUCAAGACAGAGCUGUGCUAUACUCAUGUACGGCGUGACGUUUUCCAUGUGCGUUACUAAGCCCUGUAAAGAACCCAGUAGUCAGUGGUUCUAUAAUUGUUUUGUUAUGAGAAUUCUAGUAUGUUUGUUGCCGCUGUUAUGAUUUCAAGAUUUUAAGAGCAGUCAGAGCCUAAUGAACCCGUAAGUGCAACCACGUAAGUGCAACCUUACGGUGGUACCAGAUUUAUGUACAUUGAAGAGAAAUAAACCACAUGAACUUGGACCAGCAGUUGUCGGAAGGCCAUUAUUUAUGGGAACAUUACAGUAAGGAAUUGGACCACACCUGCCACCGUAAGGAAUUGGUUGCACUUACGGGUUCAUUGACUACUGGGUUCUUUACGCGCCCUUUUGUGGGGGGAAACAACCCAUGCAAGUCAAUUGGUGAUGUUGGGGUUUAAUAAACGAAAGAUACGGACCUGUAGGCUAGCGUUGUUCACGCGCAACAUGCCGAAAACGUGUUGUGUUGCCGGCUGUUCAAAUAAUAGAGCCCAACAGCCGUGGCUGAAGCAUGGACUGUGUUCAUUUAGACAAGCCGAUGUAGCAUGUAAGUCAAUGAGACAUUUGGUUUGCUUUCACCCAUAAAGGGGUGUAACGCAAAUUUAAGAGCAAAGUACCCGGAUGGCCGUUCAUGAGUAAGGAGGCCACUAACCAAAUGCUACGUUAUGGUCCACAUGUGACUGGCUGCAGGAAAGCGGGACGUAUGGGCCAUUUCUCAAACAUCAAGUGUAUCCAAUCACUGGUGCACAAUAGACUUUGAGAAAUGCCCAUUGAGUUGAUGACAGCAGAUGGUCAGCUUUGCGAGUGAUGCUGGCAGAGACAUGACUACGACUUCUCUUGGUCUACCACAUCGGAAAUCGUUUCUUUGACAGCCCGCUGGGCCUAUGUAUCACAUUUCUGUUGAACACAUGUCACUGGUGAAAUAAAGAAUUGUUCCAAGCUCAA
Long non-coding RNA from Engraulis encrasicolus (European anchovy), 2143 nucleotides. RefSeq lists it as uncharacterized. The transcript is spliced from 11 exons. The record is from RefSeq and is a predicted model, not a curated record. Lineage: Eukaryota; Metazoa; Chordata; Actinopteri; Clupeiformes; Engraulidae.